RNAcentral lists this ribosomal RNA (324 nucleotides) under uncultured eukaryote. RNAcentral describes it as "partial 18S ribosomal RNA". It matches the Rfam family "Eukaryotic small subunit ribosomal RNA", at positions 1470 to 1796 of the family's 1831-position model. The record is from RNAcentral.
CCCCUAGAUGUUCUGGGCCGCACGCGCGCUACACUGAACAGUUCAACAAGUCUUAACCUUGGCCGAUAGGUCUGGGUAAUCUUUGAACGCUGUUCGUGACUGGGAUAGACCUUUGCAAUUAUGGGUCUUCAACGAGGAAUUCCUAGUAAACGCAAGUCAUCAGCUUGCAUUGAUUACGUCCCUGCCCUUUGUACACACCGCCCGUCGCACCUACCGAUUGAAUGGUCCGGUGAAUAAUUCGGACUGCAGCAGUGUUCAGUUCCUGAACGUUGCAGCGGAAAGUUUAGUGAACCUUAUCACUUAGAGGAAGGAGAAGUCGUAACA